RNAcentral lists this ribosomal RNA (1956 nucleotides) under Triticum aestivum (bread wheat). RNAcentral's name for it is "partial small subunit ribosomal RNA". The record is from RNAcentral. Lineage: Eukaryota; Viridiplantae; Streptophyta; Magnoliopsida; Poales; Poaceae.
AUGGUGCACCUCGCCAGGCCGCGUCCCCCGCCCGCGCUGCUCCUCCACGCGUCGCGGCCGCCGCUCCCCGCCGCGCUGCCCCUGCCCCUCCUCCCUCCUCCCGCGCUCUCCUCGCUCCUCCUCGCGGCCGUCGACUCCUCCCCGUCCCUCCGGCACCUCCGCAGCCUCCAAGGGCUCCUCGUCCGCCUGCCGCUCCCUGCCCACUCCCUCCCCUACCUCCUCUCCCGCCUCCUCCGCCGACUCGCCGCCCUCCCGCCCCCGCACGCCCCGCUGCCAUACGCGCUCUCCGUCUUCUCCGCGCACUCUCCCCCGGACCCGUUCCUCGCCGCCGCGCUCCUCCGCUUCGCGCUCCUCACGCAGCCGCCGCUGAGCCCCUUCCGCCUCUUCUCCCGCCUCCUCCACACCCCCCGCGGCGAGCUCCCCUUCCUCCCGUUCGCCUUCUCCCCGCUCGCCAAGUCCGCCGCGGCCGCGCGCUCCCUCCCGGCCGCCCAGGCCGCCCACGCGGUCUCGAUCCUCCUCGGCGGCUUUGAUAAGCACCGGUUCGUUGAGAACUCGCUCAUCGGCGCUUACGUCGCCUGUGGUGACGUCGGUGCCGCACGGAAGGUGUUUGAUGAAAUGGUGGUCAAGGAUGUCAUUUCCUGGACGAGUAUUGUGGUGGCAUACUCCAAGAGCGGCGAUAUGGGUUGCGCCGAGGAGGUGUUUGCGCAGUGCCCGGUGAAGGACAUGGUGGCAUGGACAGCCAUGCUAACUGGUUACGCUCAAAAUUCCAUGCCGGCGAAGGCAUUGGAAGUGUUUGAUCGGAUGGCCACCAUUGGCAUGGGCAUUGACGAGGUCUCAUUGACGGGUGCAAUCUCAGCUUGUGCUCAGCUUGGCGCGGUGAGGCGUGCUGCUUGGGUUCAGGAGAUUGCAGAGAGGAAUGGCUUUGGGCAGAAUGUGGUUGUCGGGUCAGGGUUGGUGGAUAUGUAUGCCAAGUGCGGACUAAUCGAUGAAGCACGCAGUGUUUUUGAUGGGAUGCAGGAGAAGAAUGUUUACACAUAUAGCUCAAUGAUUGUUGGCCUCGCCUCUCAUGGGAGGGCUAAAGAGGCAAUUGCUUUGUUCAAGGACAUGGUUAGGAGGGCCGAUGUGGUGCCCAACCAUGUGACCUUUAUAGGGUUAUUGACAGCUUGCAGCCAUGCAGGGAUGGUCAGAGAUGGGCGCUUCUACUUUGCACAGAUGAAGGACAAAUAUGGGAUAUUGCCAUCUGCAGAUCACUAUACUUGUAUGGUGGAUUUGCUUGGUCGGGCUGGAUUGGUGGACGAAGCUCUGGAUCUUGUGAGGUCAAUGAUCGUGGAGCCUCAUGGCGGGGUGUGGGGAGCGCUGCUUGGGGCUUGUCGGAUCCAUGGGAAUACUGAUGUUGCCAAGGUUGCAGCUGAACAUCUAUUUAAGCUUGAGCCAGAGGGUAUAGGGAACUAUGUGCUGUUAUCGAAUACACUUGCAUCGGCAGGAAAGUGGGAUGAAGUCUCAAAAGUUCGGAAACUAAUGAGAACCCGGGGGCUGAAAAAGGAUCCUGCUGUCAGCUCGUUUGAAGGCAGAGAUGGUUUGGUCCAUCAGUUCUUUGCUGGUGACAAUUCUCAUCCAAAGACCAAUGAAAUAAAGAAGGCAUUAUUAGAGCUAGCUGCGAAAUUGAAGCAUGCUGGUUAUGUGCCAAUCCUGACUUCUAUUGUUUAUGAUGUGAGUGAUGGAGAGAAAGAAAGGCUGUUAAUGGGUCACAGUGAGAAACUUGCUCUGUCGUUUGGAUUGCUGACUCUUGGAUCUAGAUGCACAAUUCGAAUAGUAAAAAAUCUAAGGAUCUGCGAGGAUUGCCAUUUGUUUAUGCGACUUGCCUCAAGAAUUGAGCAGGCUGAGAUUAUAGUCAGGGACAAUAUGAGAUUCCAUCAUUUCAAAGAUGGAGAAUGCUCAUGUGGUGGAUUCUGGUGA